Molecule: small nuclear RNA, 124 nt
Filed under: Rhipicephalus microplus (southern cattle tick)
Lineage: Eukaryota; Metazoa; Arthropoda; Arachnida; Ixodida; Ixodidae
Description: U5 spliceosomal RNA
Rfam family: U5 spliceosomal RNA
About the family: U5 RNA is a component of both types of known spliceosome. The precise function of this molecule is unknown, though it is known that the 5' loop is required for splice site selection and p220 binding, and that both the 3' stem-loop and the Sm site are important for Sm protein binding and cap methylation.
Source: RNAcentral
UCGCUCAGGUCCUUCCUCAGUUAACCGCAACAAUCUUUCGCCUUUUACUAAAGAUUGCCGCGGGGAAGGACAUCCUAAUGAGCCACUAGGCCAAUUUUUGGGAGGCCUUGCCCAUUUGGGCGAA